Molecule: ribosomal RNA, 399 nt
Filed under: uncultured bacterium
Lineage: Bacteria
Description: bacterial SSU rRNA
Rfam family: Bacterial small subunit ribosomal RNA
Source: RNAcentral
GGGGAAUAUUGCACAAUGGGCGAAAGCCUGAUGCAGCAACGCCGCGUGAGUGAUGAAGGCCUUCGGGUUGUAAAGCUCUGUCUUCUGGGACGAUAAUGACGGUACCAGAGGAGGAAGCCACGGCUAACUACGUGCCAGCAGCCGCGGUAAUACGUAGGUGGCAAGCGUUGUCCGGAUUUACUGGGCGUAAAGGAUGCGUAGGCGGAUACUUAAGUCAGAUGUGAAAAUCCCGGGCUUAACUUGGGAACUGCAUUUGAAACUGGGAAUCUAGUGCGGGAGAGGAAAGUGGAAUUCCUACUGUAGCGGUGAAAUGCGUAGAGAUUAGGAAGAACACCAGUGGCGAAGGCGACUUUCUGGACCGUAACUGACGCUGAGGCAUGAAAGCGUGGGGAGCAAACA